This 397-nucleotide ribosomal RNA is filed under the name Chioninia spinalis salensis. RNAcentral's name for it is "partial 12S ribosomal RNA". It matches the Rfam family "Bacterial small subunit ribosomal RNA", at positions 795 to 1394 of the family's 1533-position model. Lineage: Eukaryota; Metazoa; Chordata; Lepidosauria; Squamata; Scincidae. The record is from RNAcentral.
CUUAGCCCUUAACAAAGACAGCACCUAAAUACAAUGCUGUCCGCCAGAGAACUACAAGUGAAAAACUAGAAACUCCAAGGACUUGGCGGUGCCCCAUACCGACCUAGAGGAGCCUGUCCUAUAAUCGAUAAUCCACGCAAUACCUCACCGCUUCUUGUAAUUCAGCCUAUAUACCGCCGUCGUCAGCCUACCCUGUGAAAGAAAUAAAGUAGGCAAAAUAGUUUUUAACUAAAACGUCAGGUCAAGGUGUAGCACAUGAAACGGAAGAGAUGGGCUACAUUUUCUAUAAUAGAAAAAUACGAACGGCACAGUGAAACCUGUUCCCAAAGGCGGAUUUAGCAGUAAGUCAAACAAGAAACUUUGACUUAAACCCGCUCUGGGGCGCGCACACACCGCC